GCAUAUCAAUAAGCGGAGGAAAAGAAACCAACAGGGAUUGCCCCAGUAACGGCGAGUGAAGCGGCAACAGCUCAAAUUUGAAAUCUGGCCCUCGGGUCCGAGUUGUAAUUUGUAGAGGAUGCUUUUGGCGCGGUGCCUUCCGAGUUCCCUGGAACGGGACGCCAUAGAGGGUGAGAGCCCCGUCUGGUUGGACACCAAGCCUCUGUAAAGCUCCUUCGACGAGUCGAGUAGUUUGGGAAUGCUGCUCUAAAUGGGAGGUAUAUGUCUUCUAAAGCUAAAUACCGGCCAGAGACCGAUAGCGCACAAGUAGAGUGAUCGAAAGAUGAAAAGCACUUUGAAAAGAGGGUUAAAUAGUACGUGAAAUUGUUGAAAGGGAAGCGUUUAUGACCAGACUUGGGCUUGGUUGAUCAUCCGGCGUUCUCGCCGGUGCACUCUUCCAGUCCAGGCCAGCAUCAGUUCGUCGCGGGGGAUAAAGGCAGCGGGAACGUGGCUCCUCCGGGAGUGUUAUAGCCCGUUGUGUAAUACCCUGCCUCGGACUGAGGUUCGCGCUUCCGCAAGGAUGCUGGCGUAAUGGUCAUCAACGACCCGUCUUGAAACACGGACCAAGGAGUCGUCUUCGUAUGCGAGUGUUCGGGUGUCAAACCCCUACGCGUAAUGAAAGUGAACGCAGGUGAGAGCUUCGGCGCAUCAUCGACCGAUCCUGAUGUUCUCGGAUGGAUUUGAGUAAGAGCAUACGGGGCCGGACCCGAAAGAAGGUGAACUAUGCCUGUAUAGGGUGAAGCCAGAGGAAACUCUGGUGGAGGCUCGCAGCGGUUCUGACGUGCAAAUCGAUCGUCAAAUAUGGGCAUGGGGGCGAAAGACUAAUCGAACCUUCUAGUAGCUGGGUUUCCGCCGA
This 895-nucleotide ribosomal RNA is filed under the name Trichonectriella lichenicola. Its description in RNAcentral is "LSU rRNA". It matches the Rfam family "Eukaryotic large subunit ribosomal RNA", at positions 38 to 964 of the family's 3401-position model. The record is from RNAcentral. Lineage: Eukaryota; Fungi; Ascomycota; Sordariomycetes; Hypocreales; Trichonectriaceae.